This 43914-nucleotide long non-coding RNA is filed under the name Elaeis guineensis (African oil palm). Its description in RNAcentral is "long non-coding RNA (EGUI_LNC013411)". Lineage: Eukaryota; Viridiplantae; Streptophyta; Magnoliopsida; Arecales; Arecaceae. The record is from RNAcentral.
AGAACUCUUCUCUCCUUUAAAAGACAAAUCUUCCUUUACAUAAAUCCAUAAUUGGGACCCAAGCGGUUUGGCAGUAUUUGGAAAACUUAAAUAAUUGAAGUGUCAUAUGCGGUAUAAAUUUACCAACUGUUGGUAUACAUUUUAUCAAUAAUUUAUCAUUUUUUUAUGAUUCUGGUCUUAUUAUAGAUAUUUUUUAUGGUAGUGUUAGUAUACUCUAUUGCACUCACUAGGGCUUGUCCCAAUGAUCACACCCUGUUGCUUAACGAGCAAAGGUUCUGUGUUCAACUCAUAUAGAUGGAUUUUCGAGUAUUUGGAUUUAGAUAAUUAUAAUGCAGAUGAGUCUCCAUCAUGUGCACUCCCUCAAAAAAUGAUGGGUGCUCGCAUCUAAUUAAAAAUUGAAAGCUGCUUUCUCGCAUUUCAAACCGCAUCAAUGGCUCAUGAGAUGGGAACUAAACUGUGCCAAAAGAUGUGGGCCAAUCUCAUAGAACAGCUUGUCCACAAGCUGUGUCAUCUUAUCACCUACACAAAGCCUUCACAAUCCACCAUGUGAGUGUCCCCAAAGAAUGUGAUAGGCUCAGCUUGCUCUUGGCCAUGCAGUCUCUUCAGUGUCAUUAGCCAUCCCUUGGGCCACAUUGCCAUUAGCUUCAUGCACUGAUGAUGUUUCCAGACCUCAGAGCCCCACAUUUUUAAGGCCAUUCGCUUCACCAGCACUGCCACUCAUACCAAUCCUUUUUUGAGUGCUUGUGGUGUGUCUUGGUUCCCCACCUGAGGACGUUGGAACCAAGGGGUACAAUUAUGUAACGUAGGCAGGCUAUUGGCCGUGGGAUUUUAAUUAAUAGAUGUUUGCAUCGCUCUAACUCCAUAGCAAACAUAUUGGGACAGGAUGGGAUUAGCAUGUCUGAGACAUGCUGCCUAGUUUUACGGAGUGCCAGAAGAACUACAUUAAAUGAAAUUCUUUCGUGGGACAACUGAGAAAGCUGGGUGUUUAAUUACUAUGAGUUACUUUUUUUUCCCUUAAAAACGAAGAAAAAAGCCUAACUCCAUGAAAUAGAAUCAUGAAUCUAGAAAGUAGGAGCAUGAAAUAAUUAGUUUUCCAUUAAAGCUUAUUUUCUAGCUGGAAGUACGUAACAUAAGAGUUACGCAGGUUCUAAACCUAUAGUUUUUCUAUACUAUAGCAACUAAGGAAAAUAUCCAUGAGUGGUUGUUCAGAUUAGAAAUAUCCAAAAGUUAAGAGCUUAUUUGGAUUUUUCUAUAUGAUUGGAUUGAAAAUCUUAUAGGAUUCGUAGAUUAGGUCAAUACAACCAGCAAAAUCAUAAACUAUAUAUUGAGCUAGGCCUAUAUUCAUAAAAUACGUAGAAACAACUUUAGAAUGAACUGACCCGAAUCUCAUGAAGAAGAAGAAUUAAGAAGAAGAAAAAGAAAAAAAUAAAGAACCUCAACAGGUAAUCCUAUACAUGGUAAUGCCGGUAAAUUUUGUAGUUAACCGUUAAGGAGUUUAUUCUUUUAUGAUAACUUCUAAGAUGCCACCAUACACAUGCAUAGUUUGAGAAAUUUUGGCCAUGCCAUCACGAGGGAUCGAAGUUUCACGUUUCAUGAUCUCAUCAAGAAGACCAAAAACAAAGCACUAGUAUUAGCGAAAAUAAAAACUAAUUCUUAAUGCAUUGAGGAAGGUAGGGGUUGUGAUUCCAUUAAAUUAUUAAAGUUUUCUCGAUUAUUUACAUGGACCGAUCAUAGCAACUCAUUUCCACAUGCAGUCAAAGAAUGAAAGCAGAUCUCAAGCAAUAGAUAUGAGCAAAUUCUUUAAAAAAUAACUAUUUAUGUUUAUGGACGAAACAAAUCACGAGAUGGACAGAUGAAGAUUAAGAAGAUAUGAGAGCUGAUCAUGUUGGUGUAGGAAAAUGGGUGGCCCCAUCAUGAUCCCAAAUUCACAUCUACAUCCUCUUGGUAUGUCUUAUGUAUCAUAAGGCCUUCAGUUUGACCAUGCUCCUAAAAUUUUUGAAACAACAAGAACAUGAAGAUCUAUCUGGUGGACUGUUUCUCAUGGUCCAUAUGAAAACAAAGCUCCUCAAAAGAUAUUUUCAUGAAGGACCUUAUCCUUCUUUUCUUAAAACUCUCCUCAUGCCACGGUUUUAGAGGUGGUGUUUCUAAAUUCAAGAGCAAGCUUUCAAACACAAGGUCCUAAAGGAGUGAGGAAAGGUAAACAAAGCCAAAGUGAUCGUUAUCCAACAACACCUCUCAACAUUUCUUUAUAAAUUUUUUGCCCCCUGCUUUGUAAGCCAUAAAGGUUGAGCCAACUUAUAGUAACAUGGAGGUUAUUACACUGUCGACAAACUAAAAUAUCUUUCUCUUUGAGGAUGUUGAUUAGUCCUAGUUGGUUACUUAAACAAAUAGAAAACGUUUUGAAAAUUGAUGUGAUGUAUUUUCUCAUAGAAAAAUAGUGUUAUGAUCGAUAUAGAUUUGGGAUGGCACAUCUCAUCCAAUUACGCCUUGACAAAUCGAGCUGCCAAGGAGGAAAAAAAAUAAAAUUAUUACUGUUUCAAAAAAAUAAUUAAGUUGUUUGUUCAACUAAAAUGUCUUUUUGAAGCGAAAGUUCAACUAAAAUGUCAAAAUCUUCGGAUGGAAACUCGGAUAAUCUAGUGAAAUGAAAGUAGAUUAAUCAGAUUUUUUUUUUUUUUUCAAAAGCUAGCUAGAGAAAAAAAUUUGCAAGUUUCAAAUUGAUCCCUUAAUUUUUAUCAUAAGGAACAAACUAGACCACCUCAAGAACCAUAUAUUUUUCAGUACUACUUAUUUUGAAAAACCGGCACCAACCACAUAAUUGAAAGCACAACAUGUAGAGUAUAGAAAACCUUAUAUUCUUUCUAGCCAAUACAGCCUACAACCGAUGUUCACCAUUAGUAGGUUGAAUCCAUUAUAGUUUUAGAAAAUUUAGCUCAUUAUAUAUGUGAUAUGGAUGGCAAGGUCGAAAUUAAAUUAAAAAAAAAUAUAUACACAUUAGAUAAAGAUCCUAUAGGUCAUCUAUAUUUGGCCGGUAUAAUAGGUUUACGAGCUAGAUGGUGAGUUACAAUCGGAUUUCAAUCCUUAUGAAUCAAGUUCUGAGUUAAUUUGAUGAGGCACAAUACAACAUCUUAAGAUUGGUAAAAUCUUUUUUGAGAAUAUGAGAUUGGUAAUAUAUAUUAUAUCUAUUCUAUUCUUUUUCAUAUAUAUAUAUAUAUAUAUAUAUAUAUAUAUAUAUAUAUAUAUAUAUAUAUAUAUAUAUAUAUAUAUAUAUAUAUAUAUAUAUAUAUAUAUAUAUAUAUAUAUNNNNNNNNNNNNNNNNNNNNAUCGAUAAAUAUAGAGAAAAAGUUGUAAUGAAUAAACAAAAAGAUGACUGGAAUAACAAUGCGGAGUGCAUUCUACUUUAUAAGGAUUGAAAAGAUUAAAGAUGUGAGGGAUCGAAAGAGGCCAUGUACAUGAACCAAAGAAUCUCCUCCCAAAUUUACUUUGUGGCGGAGAAUCGGAUCCCCAUUGUUUCUUUUUUAUAAAAUUCUCCUAUAAAUAAUACUCAUUGUUGGCCAAGGUUCGUCUAUUGGCCGUCGUUGUCAUGCGAUUGGCCAUCACCUCCAUCCACCAUCUCGUCUUUUCAACUCCACGUUCGCUCAUAUUCCUGACCUUAUGACCUCGACCACAGUAUCCGUGGGCCGACCUUUUGGGUCACCCAAUAGCAUCAUGCCAUGUGCCACGAGAAUAUGUUCUUUUAUUUUUACCUACUCUUGCUUGCAUGAAGGUAGCAAUGCCCAUCGUAACAGCAUGCAUGAUGUGAUGGAUUGAUCCAAUUUCAACAUUUAGCUUGUGACAGAGAAUGAGUAAUCUUUUGUACAUCGCACUCAAUGACGAAAAAAUACAUCAUUUGAUGUGGUUGGAUCAUAUUAUCGUUAUUUUCUAAUAUAUAUUUAAUAUAAAUUUUUAUUUUUUAAUUUAAAAUUUUGAAUGAUAAAAAUAUUUUUUUAAAAAAAAUAAUGACAUCUUAUAUGAUCAUAUUAUGACAUCAUGCGGUAAAAUUAUGAUUUUCUAUUCAUAAUUUAGUCACAUGAUGUCAUAAAAAAGAGAAAAUUAUUUUUAUUAUUUAAAAAUAUCAUAAAUUUUUAAUAAUAAAAAUAUUUUUUUUUCUUUAUGAUGUUUAAAAUAAAUUAUAAUUUUUUGUGUGCAGGAAAUCAUAAUUUGAUCUAAGGAUGUCAUAAUAUGGUCACAGAAUGUCAUAAUUUUUUUCAUAACAAAAAGAAUAUUUUUAUCAUUCAAAAUUUUAAAUAAAAAAAAUAUAACUGCAGAUAUUAAAUAUACUAUUAAAUGCAUGUUGAAAAGUGAUGGCUAUGUGCUCUAAGGUGGUUGGAUGGUGCACUUCACAUAAUUUUUAUUACACUGCAUGCGGUGCAUAAAGAUUUUCUCGAUGAAAAAUAUAAUGUCCAUAUAAACUAGCAUAUUCUAUUACUCAUGCCGUAAUGCAAUUCUCUUGCCAACUAUGGUUAUGAAAUUAUUUCAAAAAAAAAAAAAUCUUUAGAAUAGGAGAGGGAUGGAAAAAGUUGAUUGAUCUAUAUUUAUAGACAAACAUGAAGUCUAGCCUUAAGAUCAAAUGAAUAGGAAAAAUCAAAUAUAUUAUUUUUUUUCCAAAAGAAUGUCAUGUAUAUGAUGAAGAUAAUAGAAGUUCAAUAAUAGAGAAGAUGCUUAGGGUUUUUUUUUCUCUUUUUUUUUUUAAGGAACGGGAUAUAGCUGGCCAAUUUUAUUGAAAAACUGAAACUAUUUACAAAGGUUGAAAGUUUAUAGAAAAACAAAGAUUACUAUGAAUAAAUUAUUUACUAAGAUUUUAAAUCUUAAUAGUGUCAUUUCAACCAUAUUUUUUGAAAAUAUUAAAAAAAUAUAAAAGUCAGUUCCUCCCUCCUGAAAAAUGCAAUGGUAAAAUAUCAUAUAUAAUUAUGCAACAACUGAUUUUAUUGAAUUAUAUAUCAAUUGUACUUUAAUUUUGUAGUGCUAAUAAAAUUGAUCUAAUAUAUUAUCACAUUAUCAUUACCAAAUGCUCAUGAUGAUCUAACACUCACCACCAAUUAAUAAACAACACACCAAAGAUCUAAAGUUAGGUAUAUUAUUUAUAAAUAUGAUACCAAACUCCUAGAAUAGUUUACAUCUAAUGCAUGGCAGAUAGACCUAGUGCGAGGGUCCAUUCUAUUCAUAACAACAAGCUCUAAGAUUUACCAACUCUCUCAUACAAAUAUUUGCUAGUUUUAAAUAUAAAUGUCCUUAUUUUAGAAGUAAUAUCUUUAUUUUUUUUAGAGAAGAUCCCUCGACUUAUAAAAGGACAUCAUGACAGUGUCCACUACCGUAUACCCAGCCAGUAGCCACAGACCUAGUGUGCUUUUGCGACAUAUUCUAGCUAGUAUGAUAAUCAAUCACUACCAAUAUAAAUUUAAGUAUCUUCCUGGAUGAGUCUAUCUAAAUAUUAUGAUCAUCCAUCCUCAUCAUGUCAUUGUUUGACCUUGCAAUAUCAUAGCACAAUAACAGUACCAUUAUGAAAACCAUAUGCAUGCAUGGUUUGCUAAUGGAGGUAUAUCAAACUAUCCCAAAUAUGCUGGUGUCAUAGGACUCUUUCCCAUUAAAGGAUAAAAAAUAAAAGAAAGAAAAAACAAAUAUGGAAUUGGAAUAUGUCAUAUAAAAAGAUGAUUAUUAAAUAACAUCCAUCUCAUGUUCUGAAUGCUCAUGAAGGAAUAAUUUUUUUUGGAUAUAUAUAUAGCAGGGCAUCUAUAAGUUUUGUGCAGCUUCUCCAGCCAAUUAAUUGGUGGUGGACGGUUCCAAAAUUUGUUAAAACAUCCUUUCCACCAUGCAAGGCCAGCUAUUUAUGCUUUUAAAAAUCAAUUAACAGGCUGGAUCAUCCCACAUGUAACAUCAAUAUGUAUCAUUUAAACUAUCCAAUGAGAUGGCUCAUGUGGAAGUUGACAUUGGAUUUUAAUGGUGCAAGAUAUUUGUAUAACAAUUCCUUGUCAUCGUUCACUGCCUUUUUUUUGAAUAAAAAAAGAAAUAUGUUAGAACUAGCGAGUUCACCCACACUUCUAUUGUAAGCGGGGAUCAUGAACUGCUUUGGAUUGUACGUUCACAGGGAUUCAAUAACAGUAAACUCAUUUUUAUAUUAGGUUUGGUUCUCAACCUUGGCCAAGUUCUUUUGUUUUAUUAAAAAAAUGACGAAGAUAAAGGACAUAUUAGGUAUGUGGAAACGUAUGCCCGUGUUCGUACGUCGCAAGCCAACUCUUAGGCAUCCUUAACCAAUGCAUUCAUCGUUAGCUUUGAUGCUUAAACUUAUUUGUAAACCCUAAAUAACAUCUUGAUGGUAUACUUUUGUUGCUUUGUUUAUUUGGUAGGAAAAGACAGGCAUGAGCAGACAAGUUAAAGAUUCUACCUUCUUAAUUAUAAUUAAUGAUGUGUACUGAGAAAACAAUGAUGAGAUCGUAAUAAUUUGGAUUAGUAAAUAAUGCAAACGACCUAACGAGAGCAUAGACACCUGAGAGAUAUGUGGGGCAUGUUAGGAUUGCUUUAAAAUGUAGAAUAUAUGGGUGCAAUGCUUGAAACAUUAAAUUUACUACAUCUUAGCAACAAGAUUUUUGUUUGGGGUUGGAGGACAAAAUGUAGCAUCGAGAAAUGAAUCCAUCAAAAUUAUGAAAGAAUGCAAUAUAUAUAUAUAUAUAUAUAUUCAAGCACAACAAUUCAAAAUCUCAUCCACGAAGUGUUUGCAGUAUUUUGUUCUUAGGUUUGGUAUCCAGAGGGAAAGAGAUGCAACCUCUACCAAAAGAAGUAACGGGAACUUGGGGCCAACCAUAUAAGCCUAGCUUUUGAUUAUGGUGGAGUGAUCAUUGUUUUAUUCUAUUAAACUUGGAAGGCACAUUCAAGCUGGAUGAAUUGACCUUCUUUUAUUGAGUAAUGCUCCCCUUUCAAUUGGAUAAGACUUUUUGUGGUUGUCAUGCUACUCCAUUAGUUGUAAUUAAAUCAUGAGAUAUGCUAAUUGUUAAAUUAUCGAUGAGUCGAUCACUAGGAAAUAAUUCAAAGAAUCAUUAAACAAUCAUGAAUAAUUGAAGAAUAUUUCAAUAACUCAAAAAUAUGAUAUGUAGGGAACCUGAUCGUGCAUUAUGGCAUCAUCUAGACCAAUGUCCACCUAAAAUUGAUUCAUCGGCCCCGGCUGUGUACAUGAUUGGCCAGUGCUUGACACUGACAAGCAAAAUAGAAGCAAUAAUCUUAAUUGAACACAAUGACCUAAAUUUUGUCGUAGAACUCAAACAAAUUAAAAGAAAUAAUGCAGUGGUUUCUUGGUCCAAGAGGAAAUCUUGGUGCAAUUAAUGCCUCUUAUCUCUAUGGAUAUUGAGGGGCACAAAUCUGAUGCCAGCCUUGGAGGAAGACAUUGAAGGAACAACUCCAUGUGCCAAGUAUAUUUAGCAGUGGUGUAUAUUGAGUCACAAAAAGUUGUCUGAAAUCAAAACAAAAGGGAUAUCAAAGUUGUCACAACAUAAUUUGUCAAGAUGCGGCUGUGCUUAUCUCAAUUCCUUGGUUCUUGACUCAUCCCUUUCGGCACUUGAACUCACUUUUUAUAGUAGAACACUUUAUUUUGUCAAUUAUUUGAUUCCCUGAAAGAUUGCUUAGGGAACUAACUACAUGCUUGGUAUCUCCUAUCCUCGAUGAUCUGUCUUGCUUCUUGCAUGAAGCAAAACAUUAGGCAUAAUUGUUCAUGAACUCAACUCAAGCUGACCAACUCAUGCACUCGCUGAUUGUCAGAGUGAUUGAAAUGGGAGCAUCUGGAUAUCUGCAAAUAACGCAUCAUUUUGAUGCCUUUGGUUCUUCUAGCAAUUAGCAAGGAAACUAAUGCUACAUGCGCCUGGAAUAUAAAAAGAGAAGGAAUCAAUUACUACAUAAAAAAAAAUGUUGUCAUUAUACAUUUAUACCUAACAAUUAUUACUUUUUGUCGAAUGUUAUUAGUCACUCAAUUUGAAUCUAAGGCUACCUAAUGGAGAUAAAGUGUCAUCUCUACGAGGGUCUUGUUCAAAAGAAUUUUAAAAUCAUCUAAUUUGAGAUAAUUAUUUUAAAAUUAUGAGAGUCUUGUUCAAAAUAAUUUUUCCCCUCUUUUUCUCCACCCCCCCCCAAAAAAAAACAAAAGAAAAUAAAAAAGAUCAUCAUUGAGAAUAGAACUUUUAAUUUCAAAUUAUUCCCAUGGCAACUCCAAUCACAGUGUAGUGCUCUUUUUUUGCCUUCUGGUCGACUCUUUCACCAAUUCAAACUAUCCUUAAUUAUAAAUUCUAUCCUAUCGAAGCAAGACUUGUUAAAGUAUAACAGUGAAGAGCUUGAAAUUUCAUCCUCUCAACUCCAACUCCAUGGAGAGUAAAAAUAUGCCUAAGAUUUACAAAGAUUAUAGCACAAACGUGUACAUAAAAAAUACUAAUCAAUAAUUUUUAUGCAAGAGCAUAUGUAGGCUGCAAGGUUUAUAGGAGGUUUAAAGGCAAAAUCCCAAACCACAAGAAUUCUUUUUCUUUUUGUUUGCUUAAUUUACUUAUCUGUCCAUCAUUCUAAAUGACAGAGAAUUUGUUGCUCUCCUUGAAAAAUGAUUCUUCUUAAUCAAGUACGUACGUGGCUAUUAAAUAUAAUUGUAUUGGAGAUAACUAAUAAGUUUGCUUGAGCAAUCCAAAUGCAAAUUUCGGGUUCAAAAGGAUAAAAAUAACAAAAUAGAGCAAGAAAUUCAUUGAUCUUUACAAUAUCUUACUUAUAAAAUAUUGACAGUGACACGAUACUAUUCUAGAACAAGUAUGGAUGUUGCACACAUAGAUAUAUUGAGAGUAUGUUAUAUAUUCAAAUAAGUAGCCAUAAUUAUUUUGGAUGCAUCCCAUAAAGAAAUGGGAAUGAGGACACGAUGCACCCACUAUGAUUAAACCACCAUUGACAUUGUAAACUAUAAAGAGUUAACGAUGAGUUACCAUAUUUUGUCAAACACCAUUAAAAGCAUUUUUUUUUCUUAAGAUAAAUUUAAGAAUAGUUUAUUCAUAUAUAUGAGGGAACUAGUCCAUGUUUUUUAAGUUGUACAUUAAGUGUCUUGAAAAUAAGGCAAUUAAAGUGGGCACAUUGAUGCAUUGAUGGAUCGAUUACAACAAUUUUAGGAAAGAAAAAGCUAUGGAAUGCCAUUUGAAAGAAUGAAACGUUAGAGCUCGAUUUAAAAAAAAAAUAGAAAUGGCCAAAGCAAGAUAGAUGUAUCCCAUCACAAAUUAUUUUUGUGAGAUUCUUUUUAAGAAUAAUUAAGUAUAUAAUAUACAUGAUUAUCUUUAUCAACAACUUUCAAAUCUCAAUUCAGCUAUAUAGUUAUCUUAGCAAUUAGCAAAAUAUGUUAAUCUCUCUCUCUCACUCUCACACAUACAUAUACACACAGCUCCAUUGCAAGGGAGUGGCAGCCGUCCAAUUCAUUUAGAAUGUAUGCUACCAUCAGGCUACAAGCCAAUCAUGAUCCUUAUUUCCUAUCUAUACAUUGAUUUUUCUGCUUGCACAUAGAAAAAUAUUUUCCAUAUUGGCCCAUCUCUCCACCUCAUACGUUUCUUUGUAAAAAAAAUAGUAGAAAAGUCCACAUGAUAAUUUAAUUGCAAAAACACCACACUUAUUCUUCCAUUAUAAUGCAUAUAUCUUUGUUUAUUUAUUAUUUUUCUAUACUGAAGUUGCUCAAGUCUCCAACGAAAUUGCCUUUUCUGGGCGACCAAGGACGCUUGCCCCACCAACCGCCCAGUACGCGUCACUUACCGUCACCACUUGUUUAACCCAUCCUACGCCUUGCCGCCCACCACGUGGCCCGCAUCCCUCCACAAUAAUCCAAUUAACCUUCCAUAAGUAACAUCGCUAAACAACAUCUAAUUGUCACUAAUCCCUCCCAAAGUUGGAGAUAAUUAAUCCCCUACCGCUCCCACGUGCGAGCCAUGCCUGUCUGCCCCAAGGGGCAUUUCCGUCCACACGUUGUAUAAAUACGGCUCCUGACGCCCUCCCCCUUCCCCCACGACCCAUUCCACCAAGCUCUUCUUCUCUCCUCCUCUCUCGGUUUCCGGCCACCAGAGAGCUACCGCCGCCGCCGUCGCCGCCGCUGGGGAAUGGCUAAGGUCCACCCGAAUGCUGCCUCUCCUGCCCUCGAGCUCCCGAGGCCUGCCGUCUCUUGCAGAGGCGGCGCCGCGGGCCGGCAGGAGGCGGCGGUGCUGACGGUGUGGCGGAAGUCGCUGCUAUUCAACUGUAGUGGAUUUACUGUUUUUGAUGCCAAGGGAAGCUUGGUGUUCCGAGUCGAUAACUACGGGUCGGGGAGUAAGGGUGAGGUCCUGCUCAUGGAUGCCGCCGGGAAACCACUCCUCACCAUCCGGCGAAAGGUAUAAUUUUGAAACCCUUUAACAACUUUAAGAAUAAAUAUUAUAAGUUGAGAACUGAAACAAAGGAGACGAUUCUUAAUUUCAGGGUGUUUAAAUCGAAUUUGAUCUCUUCUAUAGAAUAAGGGAUUUAGUUUUGUCGGAUAUAAUAGAAUGAAGAUUUCCGUUUUGGCUUUUGGCGUGUCUUUUUUUAGUUUUGCAAUGCGCCUUGCACAAGAAAGUUCUUGGGUGAUACUUAUACUAAAUUAUUUAAGAAAUUUAUGUUUUAAAAUUAUUUUUGUAAUUGAUGUUUUUGUUGAUCAAGCUUCAAAGGUAAGCAUUUGAUCCAAAGGAGAAACAUGAUUAACCCAAAAGGAAAUAGAGAAACAUAUUUUUUAAAUUCUGUGUCAAAGUAAUUCGCUCUAAUUCUGAGAACAAUUUUUUUUUUUAAAGAAAGAAACCCUUUUCUGGGUUUGAAGGGGAUACAAUUAAAUUGUAUUCAGAUUGGUGAACUUUUCUGGGUUUCAAGGUGACGUUUCUGAGUCUUAACUCGCUGAGUUUCGUUAAUUGACACGCCAUGGUUAACUUGUGGCGCAGAAGCUGAGCCUAGGAGACCACUGGCUGAUCUAUAACGGCGAGGAGACCGUCAACCCCGGGUUCUCCGUCAAGCGGCACGUGAACUUCCUCCAGUCUAAGGCUUUGGCGCACGUGACACCGUGUGGAGCCGGUGCCGGCGGUGCCGGCCACGAGGUCCAGGGCUCGUACUCGCAGAGAAGCUGCGCGGUCUACGACGAGCGGCGGCGGCCGGUGGCCGAGGUCCGCCGGAAGGAGGCCGCCGCCGGAGGGGUGGCGUUCGGCGCCGACGUCUUCCGCCUCGUCGUGCAGCCGGAUCUCGACGUAUCGUUCGCCAUGGCCAUCGUCAUCGUCCUCGAUCAAAUGUUCGGAUCUCGAGGGUAUCGGAUCAAGGGCUAAGAUUGAGAGUGGGAGUUUAGAUUGGGUUGGCCAUUGGGAGGGUCAUGGGAAAGUUUUUCUUUUCUUUCUUUCCUUUCUUUUUUUUUUUCUUUUUUUUCCUUUUUUGCUUGUUCCUUUGGUGUUGGGAGGGCAGCAAGUAUGAUUAUGGGAGCCUUUUACUGUGUCACGGUUUGAUUUUUUAAUGAACCAUGUACCAAUAAAAGGCAAUUCUAUAUGAGUGUAAAUAUUUUUUUUUUCCCAAUGGAAAUAUUAGUAAGAGAAACUGUCCCUAUUUCUUACUCUUAGCCCCAAAAAAAUGUUUUUUUCUUAAAAAGAUGAUAACCCAGGUCAUAAAAAAAAUAAUUUCGUUCUUAGGAUUAACUUAGAUGGAAAAUUUCUUGGUGUUGAGUAGAAUUUAAUUUGUUGAGGUGUUUGAGGUAUGAACAACCUGAGGCAUACAAUAAUCCAGCUACUUUGUAAGAAGUAUGUAAGAAACAUUUGCAUAAAUUAAUUUGAAGUAUGAUUUAAUAUUUUAGGAAGGGCUAACUUGAUUUAGAUUGGAUUCUAAUAUAAGCUUUUAGGUUUAACUAUAUUAAUGUUGCUUUCAUGAUGCAUCAACUUAAUUGUUGCCCUGCUGUUUAACCAUUGUUCCUGGAGGUCCACAUAAACAUUCCCAGAUUAUUACCUUGUUGGUUCAACAAUUAAUUGUUCCAAACCUCCCUUCGAAAAAAAAUACAAUUGUUCCAAACCGUCCGAAUCAUAUCAGCUUAAAAGAGUCAUGCAAACAAACAUAUCUGGAGUAAUAAAAUGUACAUCAUUGAUAUAAUUGACCAUGUCCCUCAGAUUCUCUUUGAAGGAAGGGUCUCGUCAGCAUUCCACAAAGCCAAAAUAUCUGUGAGCUUCUUUGAGAAUAUCAGACAAGCUUCGCUCGUCAUUUAUUUUAAAUAAAUAAAGCAAGAGUCAUCAAUUCAGCAUAUUCAAAAAGCACCACAAAUCAAUAAUUUCAUAGAAAUUAUGUAGAAAUUUUCCAUUCAAAUAUAUACUAAAGCACCGCCUUCUAUGCUUUCGAGGGCGAAUCCUCCUCUAGGUGAAAUUUAAUUGUUUGUUGCUGGAUACUUCUCAAAAAAAUUGUCGCCUUAGACAAGCAAACAAUUUAACUUCAUUCUUAUGCAUUUGGGACAUGGGGUGAUGGCUGAAUAAUAUUUUGUUAAUUUUAUAAAGUAAAAUAGGAUUAUACUUCGUUCAAUUUAUGCCGUUUCUCUUGCAAACUUUUGCGUAGAUUAAAUAUCUUUUAAUUGCAUGUUUAAAAUAUUCUUUCAUUAUGUCUGAGCCCUUCACCUCCUUUCUCUGUUUUUCAACCUCCAAUCACUUUAGUGACAAGCAAUUGGGAGCCAUAAGAAGGUUUUAGGGUAAUUAGCCUUCUUGGUUUUCUUUUCUUAGUUGGUCAGAAGACUACCUUCUCAUUGUCAAGGGCAAAAACAUAUCAAAGUCGCAAGUCACCGCAAUAAGCGGCUCAAAUUAUGAAAUAAUAGUUAGACGCAGUCAAUUUUAGAAUGCUGUUUUAUGUGGUGGAUGGUCCAAGAGCCCGGUCACCUUCCAAGCUAGACAUGGUCCAAGUGCAUCUCUUACCGAUGGAUAUGUGGCUCAAAUCCUUGUACCACUCGUAUGUGGCCCUCCACUAUAAUUGGAAGCAACUACAUUAACUGGUUUCCAUGGUAAUCACAGAAGACGAUAUCAAUUAGCAUUCUACAACUUGAAAAUAACUCUCAUCCAUGAAAGGGGGGGUUUCUGAAACAAAAUCAAAUUUCCAAGUGCCAUUAUCAACCCAAAACAAUGUCAAUAUUUCUUGCUUUGUAUCAUAUGCUAGGGUUCUGAGGAUCACAACCUCAAUCACUUGUUAUUUUGAUUAGGAAUUCGAGAAUGUUCUACCUAUAGGAAAAAUCAUACAUUUAGAUUUAUCUUGGAACAUGACCUCUUCUGCUCAAGUGACUCUUUCAAGAAAUCUGCUCGUUUUGGUCAAAUUUCCCAUUGAUUUCGAGCCGAGGGGUCGCUUUCAUGCAUUGCUUGCGAGACUCGGAAAAAGGGACAGGAAGAUGUUGGAAAGUUGAACAACAAGGAACCUUGUUGCUGUGCCAACUUCAAGUCAACAUUGUAGAAAAGUGGUGCACCCUCAAAUUCAAUGACACGACCCUUGAUAAGAACCUCACAUGUGGGAGAGCCAUUUCAUAGAAAAGGCCUGGCUUAACCUCCUGGGCUAAGACUUUUACGGAUCUUUGUGUGCAGUCCAGCAAGGUUGGGCUGGAUUUCUUGAGGGGAGAAGAGAAAUGACCUCACGACUCAUGGGUCUUUCCUUCUUUUUUUUUCCCCUCUUGAGAAAGACUUUACGCACUGCAUGCAGAGAAAUGACCUCACGACUCAUGGUUUUUUUUUUUGCCUCUUGAGAAAGACUUUAUGCACUGCAUGCAGUAUAAUAAAACUGACAUGGAGCAUACCACCUAAUCAUAUUAAAGUAUAUAGUCAUUACUUUCCAAUGCGCAUUUAGUGCAUAUAAUUCUACUUUUUCGUUUGAAAUUUUGAAUGACGAAAAUGCUUCCCUUCUUUUGAAAAAAUUAUGAUAUCCUACGAUCAUAUUAUGAUAUCCUGUGAUCAAAUUAUCACUUCCUGCACACAGGAUGUUAUAAUUUUUUUUCAAAAAUUAUAAAGAAAAAAGUGUAUUUUCGUCAUUAAAUUUAUAAAAUUUUUAAAUGAUAAAAAUAUUUUUUUUGUCCUUAUGGCAUCCUAUAUGCAAGAAAUCAUAAUUUGACUGUAUGAUGUCAUAAUAUAACCACAAGAUGCCAUAAUUUUUUAAGAAGAAAAGGGAUAUUUUCGUUAUUCAAAAUUUUAAAUAAAAAAGUAGAUCUAUAGACAUUAAAUGUGCGUUGGAAAGUGAUGGUUACAUGACCUAAUCAAAUGGAAUGGUAUAUUUUUCUACAACGGAUGCGGUGUACAUAUAAUUACUUUUUUUUUCCUUAUAGACUAAGAGGCCCAUAAAUUGGAUUUAAGCUAGGAUGAGACAUUCUUUGCGCACCGCGGACGGUGCAGGACCGCGUACUCCGCCCGUGGUGAUUGGCUCAUGCACGGAGCUGAAAGAAAAAAAAAAAUUUUUUGCAUGCUGUGCUUUGGCUCCAUGUGUGAGCCAAUGACCGCAAGCAGUACGCGUAUUCUGCACCGCUUGCAGUGCAUAAAAAAUUUCUUAAGCUAGGAUUAGGAUGGACUUUUAGAAGAAUAUAGGCCGAACAAUUCAAUAAACUUGAUUUCUGCCCAACACUACUAGGUUUCCAAAAUAGGCCCUUAAAGUUGCAAGUCACCGGCCUAUUAGAUUACCCUUUUUUCAAUUACGCACGUUGUGGAAGUCAAAAUUUGAAACAGUUCGAUUAUCAAGAUUUAAGCCCCAUUUCUUUUCAAUUAGGUAAAGCAGUACUUUGUUACAUUUUAGUUCAUAUCCUUACCCUCUUUUGGAACUUAAGUUAAUUUUUGGUUCCAAGUAGGGGUGCCAAUUGAGCAGGUCGAGUCAAAUACGAUUAGGUUAGAUAUAGGUCAGCUCAAAAAACUUUUCUAUCCAAAUUCGAUCUAUUUAUUAAACAAGUUAAAAACUUAAACCUAAAUCAGACAUAUUUAUUAAACAAACAAUCCGACUCAACCCACAUAAUUUAUUUAUUAAAUAGAUCAAAUUAAAUUAAAUAGGUUAAACAAUUUAAAUGGUUAAAUGGAUCAGAUUAAAUAGGUUAGAAACAAAUUAAACAAGUUUUAUAUUUGUUAAAUAGAUUAAACGGGUCAGAUUAUAAUCUAACCUAAUUGUAAUUAGACCCAAUUAUUAAGCAGAUUAAAUAGAUCAAAGAUCCAAGUAUGAAACCAACUUAUUUAAUAAACAGGUCGGAUGGGUUGACACUAUGAUCCAAAAUCAUUUAUAUUAAACCCAAACUUUCUUAAAACGAGUUGAGAAUUGGGUUGAUGGGCUAGAUCAUAAUUACCACCCUUUGUUCUAAGCCCUACCUUUAUAAGCAAUCACCAAGGAUCGAUUAGAUUUGCUGGUAGAUUCGAUGUCAUGGGAUAUGUUCUUUUUCCUGUUUUUUCUCCUCCUUUUCUUAAUUUUCACUGGUGUCGGUAUGAGGGAUGGCGCCCAGUUGAGUCCCAGACAAUUUGUUCUGCGCAAUGGGAAGAUCCUGGACUGACAUAUUUUCACCUCAUUUUUGUUCUUAUUUUCUCCAGUCAUCGUAAUCCAAUUACCACUAUCCUAACAAUUUUUGUUCUUUUUUUCACCUUAUUUUUGUUCUUAUUUCAAGACAAUGUCCAUUGCCUGCCUGCCUACGUGGUGCAAGCUCAAAAACAUUCUCUGGAUGCAUUUGGAUCCUCGAAUCAUGAGUUAAAUGGAUCAAAGGCCAUUCUGAACCGCUGCAUACAUGCAUGCAUGCAUCUCACGUCCAUCACUACAGCAUCCCUGAACCUCACCAAAUUGGAGCGCCGCUUGACGGUCCGUCAAAAGCUUUCGAGUUUGUUGGCACUUGAUGCUUUGUGAAGCAAGUGUGCACCAAGAGCAAUCCGACUUCAGAGGUUAUAACGUUUUCCACGCAAGUGAAUCCCGUAUAACUUUUAUUUCAUUUAAAGCCUCUAAAAUGCGAAGCUUCUCGAUUGUAUCUCUAAAAAUUAUCGGAACUGCUGCCUUCUUGUGAAACUUAUUGUGAUGAUGACCUUAACUCCCAUUGUAAUAUUGCCUUUGCCAGUUUGCCCACAUUUGGAUUCGUAUGACACCAUUAUUCACCCCUUUGUAAUAGGCGACUAAUAUGUACUACAGUUUGCUUAAGCUGGAUCCAAUCUAAAGCGAGCUCUAUGAUGUAAACUAAAAAAGAUGGUAUUUUUGAGGACGAGAGUCUAGACCUUUCUUAUAACCAAAACAGUUUAGUGGAUUGCAGCAGUUUAUAAGGUUUGACAAGAGUAAUUCUUCACGUCUGAGGCACAAAAUCUCCACAAAUAUCAAAGUGGUAUCCAGGUUCCCUCUGGAUUUUCUAAACCAAAGGCCCAAAAGCCGCUGGUAUAUUGCUCCAUGGCCCAAGGAACGGCUAUCGUCUCAAUGAUUGGAUCACACGUGCAACGGAACAGAUGGGGCCCAAAAAAAAAAACCAAAGGACCCUAAAAAGCCGNNNNNNNNNNNNNNNNNNNNGGGUCCCAAAAAAAAAAACCAAAGGCCCAAAAGCCGCUGGUAUAUUGCUCCAUGGCCCAAGGAACGGCUAUCGUCUCAAUGAUUGGAUCACAAGUGCAACGGAACACGUGGGGCCCAAAAAAAAAAAGCAAAAAUACUAGUGGAGAUGCGGGGUAUCGAUCCCCGUACCUCUCGCAUGCUAAGCGGGCGCUCUACCAUCUGAGCUACAUCCCCAGACGAGAGUGGGUUUUUUAUUUUCGUAACUUGUCUUAUUCUUCUGUUUCUUGGCGCUCCUUCCUAUUUCGCCAAUGAGGCCCACCUCGCCUGCAAACCUGCGUCGGCGUCGAUUUCCAGGUGCCUUCCCGUGUGCCCUGGCCUUGGUUUUGGACGGAGCCCUCCUGUGGGUUCGACCAUCCCAAUGUGGUAACACCCUGAGAGCUUGUGGCACAUUCUCCGAUUCCACUUUCCACCAUUCCGUGUGCUCCUGUUGGUUUUUUUUAACUUAUUAAAGUUGCCGUUGGUUGCAACCUCAGACGGGGAACAGCCUUCCGGUGGGCUUGACCAGCUCGAGAUUCUAAGAUGGCCAAAGUCAUCCCAGGUCCAUAUGUAGGUUGGCAUGGAAUGAGGGGUUUUGCUGGCAAUUGCUCUCGUUUCAUGGUAUUCAAUUUCCAAUGUGUCAACAUUGGCAACCUGAUCCCUUGCUCGCUACAUGCUAUGCAACAUAAUUAAAUGUUGCUUGUGAGUUUGGAGUGCACAAAUUGCCAUGAAACAUAAACGGCUUUUUGUUAUAAAUCCUUUGACAGACUUCACUGCCUGCCACCGUCGCAAUGCAUUCGUGAUCCAGCAAAGUCCUGAGAAUUAACUGGAACAUGUAAAUUUUAGUGAAUAUUAGUAGUUUCUUGAUUGGGAACAUGUAUAAGUAAUGUCCAUGCAAAAGACUAAACAUGCAAGGGCCGUCCAACAGUAUAGUUUGCCGGAUUCAACUGUCGGGCUUCAUUAAGGUUGUUCUUUCUCCUCUUAUCUAUUUAUUUUGUGUACUAAUGCUUUAUCUCGAAUAUUAAAAAUGGUAGUUCAGAGAUCGAUAUUGGAGCCCUACUGGCCCGAUCCUAAAGGUGCAACUGCUCUUGCACCUUCUCUUUGCAAAUGUCUCCUCACAGGACGGGCUUCGGUAUGAAACGUAAGGUAUUUUGCUCUCAUUAUCGAGGUUUACUGUCAGAUGUCAAACCAACCUAUGAACUUGCAAGAGUUUGCGGUCAUCUUCAACUCCAAGAUAAAAAUCCAUAUGAAGUAGGCGAUUCGGAAGCGAUUGGGGAUCUCGAAAUUGACCAAGACCUUGACCUAUCUGGAUUUUUCUAUCACCGAUAGGCAUCUCUGGAGGGUCGACUGCAGACCUUUGGAGUAGCGGGUUGAGAAUAGACUCGAGGGUUGGUAAGCCAACACCCUCUCAAUGAUCGGCAGAACAACUCUUGUGAGAUCAGUGCUCAGUUCUAUCCUGAUGUACCUCUCUUGGCUAACACGAUCGUCUCGAGUUUCUGUCCAGAGGAUUGAAGCAGUGGCUUCAGAAUUUCCUGUGGGGCUCAGGGGAUAACAACGUGGGAUCCACCUACUAUCCUGGAAGGUGGUUUGCCAGCCUGUGAGAGAUGGUGGUUUGGAGAUUCAAUCUCUGUUAGUCAAAGGGGAGGCUAUGAUUGCUAGACAUGCUAUCAGAUUCCUUAUCUAGUCAGACUAUUUCUAGAGCAGGAUGAUGAGGGUUCAAUAAGGCAUGGAGCCAGGAGUCCCAGAUCGAGGCCCUCCGUGGUUGCUUUUUCUUCUAGAAGGAGAUUUGUGCUUGCGGGCUUGCUAUUUUGGCUCAAGUCAGAUGGCUAAUUAGGGAUAGGAUUACGGUGAUUGUGAGCCAGGAUGCUUGGAUCUCCGAUCUUUCUUUAUUCCUAUGGCAGACCUACAUUAGCAGUGAGGUAGAUAAUCAUCUGCAUCUCUGCGACCUACUCAAUGCCGAUGGUAGGGGCUGGAGAGUGCAGGAGAUCAUCAAAUUAUUUGGCGGUCCACUUGCUGAUCGGAUCCUCACCACUCUUAUUUUGAUUCACCAUAGCCAUGAUUUUUGAGGAUGCAGGAUCAUCUUGUUGCCCUAGGGUUCCCUUGAGGGACCUAUCUAAGAUGUGCAAAUUAGCAAUGGUUAGGAGGAUCGAGGCUGCUUAAAUUUAGAGAGUAUCUACCCUCCCAGAGUAAGACUCUUUCUUUAGAAGCUUGUAUGGGACCAACUUUCAAUGCACAUGCUUUUCAGAGAUAGAGGUAUGAAGUUGCUAGUUUCAUGAGGUAUGAAGUUGCCAGUUUCAUGUCUGAUCUGCAGACUGGAGGAUGAAUCGACAGAGCACACCAUUCUGCGCUGUCCGAAGGCCAGACUGAUUUGAAGGAAAGCAGGCGACUAGUCUUGGGAGACGACUGAGGUCAUUGGCUGGUGUCUUUCUUAAGUGCUAUCCAUCAGAGCAUAGCUGAUAGGAUGACAUCCACUUGAGAGGAUAGGAUGGUUUACAUUGUCUACUAGAUUUGGCUCUCUAGAAAUAGCCUGAUCUUCGAGGGCGAGAUGAUUCCUGCACACCAGAUAUUAGAGAGAACGAUCUGCUUGAAUAUGAAGUACAGUCAUUUCGAUGCUGCUAGCCCUUUUCUUGAUGCCCCCAUUCACUAAGACUUCCUUGCUGCUCCUGCGGCGAUCCGGAGGAUCAUUUUUAUUUUGUGGGAUCCCUUUCCUUUGGGAUUUGCCAAUGUGAACUUUGAUGGCAGUGUUAGAGAUGGGAGGGGUGGUGUGGGAUUUAUCAUUUGGAGCCUAGAUGCCAGGCUGCUAGUGGCUGGAGGCUUCUAUCUUUUUGAGCCUUCAGUUUCGGAAACUGAGCUUCAUGCCGCCUGGACGGAUAUUUUCUUUAUCAGAUAGAAGUUGCGGACAGAGAGGAUUUCAUUGAGGAUGACUCUACUAUCGUUAUUGGAUAGAUUCAUGAUGGUAGUAGGUAGCUAAAAGGUCAUCCACUCCUCUGACAUAUGGAUUGCUUUUCGUCUUCUAGUUACAGUGGUGGUGCGAUAUUUCUAUCGAAAGGUGAAUAGUACAGCAGAUUGAAUCACAUCUUUUGUUGCAGAGCACUUUGGAGACUAAACUUAGCGAUCGGCCCCAUAAAAAUUUUUAUUUUCUAACUUUCUAAGAUGCUCUCACAUUAGAGUGGCAUGACCAUCCCCAUGUAUCCAAAAGAAAAAAAGUUUGCCGAUCUAUAUUUGAUACGAGUUGAGGUGAUACUGAGUCCGGAUUCUCUGUUGUGCACCGUACGGUGCAGUGCACAGCACAUCAUUCAUCGCACGAUGGACAGCCACGCGUGGAUACGCGUUUGUUGUGCACGGCCGCCCAUCGCAUGAUAGACGGUGCGUGCUGUGUACCGUAUCGUGUGGUGCACAGCAGACAAUCCGUACUGAGGUGAUAUUUUUCUGUUCUUAAAGCAUAUUGAUUUAUUUUUAUUCAAACAACUUUUAUGGGUAAGUAUUUUUUUUUCUUUUUAAACCAACGAUUAAAUUGAGACAUUCGAGCGACCAAAUCACGUUAGACACUGAGUUACUUUAAAUGAAAUUAAUAUCAAGCGCAAAAAUAUCAGUGUAGCCUGUUGUGGGCCUUGUGGCACAGUAUACUUCGACCACUGCGUCUUUAGUCUCACAAAUUUCGGCAGUACCAUCGCCACAAGCUUUGCUCUCAGUGGAUUUGGUUGUUACGGAGAGCCAAGCGGCUCAUCCGGCGGACCGUUCCUCACCCUCGCGCUCGCAUGCCACCUGACAAGAGGCCGGGUAGUUGAUCGUAAAAUGUACUCAUAGAAUUUAUCUGCGACCUUUCGAUCCGCCGUCCGCCAUGACCAUCUAAAUCCAACUUCUCCGUUUAUACAUAAUAAUAGCACCUUUGGACGGGUGAGAUAUUUUCAUUCGACGAAAAUAACGGCAGAUCAUUCAUCUCUGUAGAAAAGUUAUGCACGCGUCCGGACGAUAGCAUUUUUCGAGCACAAGAAUAAAACAAGAGGGGGAAUCCGUCCAACGCCACCUAGCAUUCCUCGCAGUUGCCAUGUUCCGAUGGCACAUUUUAACAGGGCAGAUCCAGUAACACAUUACCCAAAAAUAAAUAAGCAAUAAAUUCAACAAUAAAAAUGAACGGAUGUGAUUGCAUUGGAACAAGUUAACCUAAAACCACUGAGCUGGGACACUAAACAAAGCAUUAAAAAUUUCAUAGUCUAUAUCUCAUUUUAUGGUGUCUGGGUAUGAUUUUUUUUUUUUUAAUACAAACGAACGUUCACACCAAUCUAACACGAAAAUAGUUUGAAAGAUCAAAAUAUAUAAAAUUUCAUAAAAUCUACAAGCAAUUUUUAUUCUAUCUUCAAUUUUAAUCAUCAAAGUAUUCCGCAACAAAUGACGCUAUGCAAUCUGCUGCAGUAUUAGCCUUCCUAUAAAUAUAUCGCAUUCUGAUAGUAGUCGUUUGAUGAAGGAAGGUCUAAAUAUUUUAGAUCAGCGAAUAAAUUUUGAGAUGUUUUGCACCUUCUUGAAUCUAAAUAAUGAUGAUAGCAGAAUUAUCCUCAAAAUAAUUUUUUUUUAUGUGAAACUGUUAUAUGAUAAAGAUGAUAUCUAUCCAGACAGUAUGAAACUCUACAUCUAAAAUAAAAAAUAGAUAGAAAUCUUGGAUCACCAAAAGUCUAACAUAUAGACCGUGAAAGAUGAAAUCCAUAUCAUUUUUUUUUAUUUCAGAUACUAUCAUCAAAAUUCAUCUUGCCAAACGUAAAAGAUGGGGCUCCUUGAGAGAUGGGGUAAGAGGCUUUUAAUCUCACCAUCAAAUAGCGUCAGAUGGUUGGAUACCUGAAAAAAACGGAACGAAUUUCAGAUAUUGUCUCACUCGUCUUUUUUUCCAGGCAUACACUGAGAUGCGCCGAGUUACCGGGCUUUUCUGUGAACCGCGGACGGCAAACCGGUCGUGGCCUGUAGCACCGCGGACCCGGUUCCGGCCCAGUCCGGGUGCAUUGCAUCAGUAUGGUGCGCGUAUUACCGAAAUGGAUCGGAGUGUAUCAUCGCAAACUAUGGGUGGCAAUAGCGCGCGUGGUUUAGGACUUCGCCGCACUGCUUCGACAGUCUCCAAAGAAAUAAUUUUUUUUCACGUUAAAUACAUCGAAGGCUCUGUCGGAGAUCCCCUCAUUUCGAUCUACCCUGUUCUCGUUAACAUCUGAUAGAUACUCUUCGAGAAGUCUAGCAAGGUAUCCAUCGAUUUCAUCCUUUUUCUAUAUGUUCUUGUUGCUUUUGUUUUCCUAUCGAAGAUCGUGUUUUGGGCUAUUGAUUUUGCGGUUAUCGACUGGUUUACCUUAUUAUCUGCUUUAGAUCUAAUCCAUUAGCCUAGUUUUCGUGCGGAGUUUCGAUUCGAUCUCUUUGUAUCAAAUUUUGGAGUAGAUCGUGUUUUCCUGUUAUUUGGAUUUCAGAUUUUUUUUCCUUAUUUUUAUGUAUUUUGGAAGUAUUUGGAGAGAUGGGGAGCUCUGAGUUUUCGUGGAAAUUGGCGGAUCACCCGAAGCUUCCAAAGAGGAAGACGGUGGCUGUUGUAGUUUUGGAUGGAUGGGGCGAAGCCAAUCCCGAUAAGUACAACUGCAUUCACGUCGCCCAGACUCCUACCAUGGAUUCACUCAAGCAGGUAUAAGUAUUGGAUUUUUUUUUUUAAAAAUUGUCUGUGUUUAUGGGUUCAAUUGGUAGAGAUCGGUGCCUUUUUAUGGCCUCGCCAAAUGUAUUUGUGGGGAUCUUAGUCCUGUUGGUUUGCAUUAAUUUAGUUAUAGUUUCCUGUUAAAUCUUCGUAACUGGAGAAUAAUAGAAUAUCUGCAAAGUUAUAAUGGUACUUUCAUAUUCAUAAAGCGUCCAUCUUUUUAUUUCAUAUUUAAUAUUAUAUGAAUAUCAUAUGAUGAAUGUAUCAUGUGCCAUGUAAAUAUUCAAUGAAUCAUUUACUGAAUCCUAUUUUACUAUGUAUAGGAUUGUUAUAUGACGGAACUUAUCAAAUUCCAUUGCUUUUCAUUUUCAAUAUAGCGAACCCCACAAGAAUAAAUAUUUUCUCAUGGCAUCACAAUGUGGUUCAUGUAUUAUAGGGUCUUGAUUCUUAACAGACUGGCUUGGAGCAAGAUUUACGUGACAUGCUGAAAUCCCCUACUACAACCUCUGAAACCAUAAUGGUUGUUAUAUUCCCAAUGAAGCUUUUGGAUGCUUUUUUCCUUUUUGAAAAUAGUUUAGUAGCUGUUGUAAAUGGACAGUAAAGGUAAGAUUUUGGCUUUUAAACCAGCAUGGAGAUUUGAUCUUUUUUUAAUAUAUUAACCACAUGGACAUGGAAAAUGUUAACUACAUUGGUUGUUAGAUAAAAUCCAUUGUAACAGUUUACUCGUAAACAUCACCAUUAUUCAGAUAGCCAUUUUUUUUUCUUUUUUCUAAUAAAUAAUCAUUAUGUGUCGCCCAUUCUGUGUGCAUGUUUGUUGCAAAUGGUCCUCAAAAACCAGUAUAAUAUCAGUCAUUACAUUGUGGUAGCAAAUAUAUUGAACAAUGCCUUGCAAUGAUCCUUAACACCAGUUUGAAACAAUAAAUGCUAUAUGCAAUCAAGUCUUCUUUAUGGCUCCUUUCAUCUCAGGAUUGCUACUUGGUAAUCUAGCAGUGGCAUAUACUUUAUACGCUCCACCUGACAUUCUGUAGCAGCAUACUGACAAAUAAGAGUAGAAAACAUGAAUUCUCCACUAUGUUCUUCUGUAUGUUGGAUUGUGGCAUGAACUGAUGCUUAAAUAAUAUCCCAUUAAUGACUUGGUACCUGAAUCUUGUUUUCUAUGCACAUAGAAUAUUUACUUAAGCAAUUAAACCCUGCAUGUACUCAUGUAUGUCAUAUCAUGGUCUGAGUAACAAAUGUUAUGGCCUUUUAAAACCUUUUAGAACCAUAAUUUUACUGCUAUGACAAAAAAAGAGGCCAUUGAUCUUCAUUAUAGUUUAAGAAUGAAGGACAACAAGGGAUAAUAAUUUACAGAAUAUAUACUAUUUAUGAAAUGAUAUGGAGAUUGAACUUUAAAAAAUUGUUAUGUUAAUUAGAUAUAUGAUGAAAAGAACAAAUAACUAUUGUUGUAAGUUAUAUGAGCCAUUAUAGUAGAAUAACAACUACAUAUGGAUUUUGCUGAAACACACUUGUGUUAUUCUACUAUUGAUUUUACUGAAACACACUUAUAUAUGUAUAAUGUGAUGUAGGGGCUCUGUGGCCAUUAUAACAUUCAGUAUCUUGCCGUAACAGCUGCUAUUAUAGAUUAUACAUUAUGUUUCCUAUAUGUUUUCUGAUUUGUCACCUCAAAGUUUAUAAGUUGGAAAUAUCUGCUGAUUCUUGGACUUUGCGGAAAUUGAACUGAAUAAUAUCAUUAAUCACUUCAUCUUAAACAUAAGUUAUUAACACUCAUCAUGUUCUUGCAAAAGGGUGCUCCAGAAAGAUGGAGGCUGGUACGGGCUCAUGGCACAGCGGUGGGACUUCCUACUGAGGAUGACAUGGGUAACAGUGAAGUAGGUCACAAUGCCCUAGGUGCAGGACGCAUUUAUGCUCAAGGGUACAAUAUUCACCGAAACAGCUUUUAUCUUUAUAUGGGCAAUCAUCUGCUAGUUAUUCUAUCUUUUAGCAUUGUGUUCUAGUUAUGCUCGCUUUUGAAUCUUAUAUCUUCACAUAAAAGUGUUUUCCUUAUUAAUAUGAUCAUGCUUAAUUACAAAAAAAACCCAUCAUGUAAGUUAUUUAAAAAAAGGUUUCUGAAAACAUCUUUAAUUUUUUUCUUUUCAGAUGAAAAUAUUCUUCUCUAUAAUUGAUUUCUUCUAUAUAAUACUAAUUGAUAGGGCUUCAUCGAUAAGUAUUACGAGAUCUCGUGCAUUGGAACCCAUGGUUAUGAACCCGAAUAAGUUAGUAUGGAACAUUUUCUUUUCCAAGUGAAAUCCCCUAGUAUAUGAAAGAAUGGGAAAUCUUUAACAUGAUUUAGUUUUAUUAUGUAAGUUGGUCCUAUGUCUGUUUCUGUAUGGACUUCUGGCAAUCUAUAUAUUAUUUCAAUGCGGCUCCUAAUAUUUGUCAAGUCUUCUUGCACCCAUUAUCCUGAAUCAUUAGCUGAACAUGCAUUCAAAUAAAUUAAGAUAAGUAAAUCAUGUUUCUAACUUAAUCUGUAUUUUCACUCUCUAAUUGGACUUUUUCCGUAGUGAUACUGAAACUUCUUGAAGUAAACCUAAUCAACCCCCGUGCAGAGACUUCUAGUAGAAUGACAUUAAGUUAAUGAAAAAAUCAAAUAGAACCAAGAGCUGUGUUGUAUGAUCACCUGUUAUUUUAUAAUUAUUUUUCCUCAGUUUCAUGCUGUUACAUUACCUUUCCCGGAUUACAGUGCUAAGCUGGUGGAUCUUGCACUUGCCUCUGGAAAGAUAUAUGAAGGAGAAGGUUUUAAGUACAUCAAAGAAUGUUUUGAUCAGGGCACUUUGCAUCUCAUCGGGUUAUUGAGUGAUGGAGGUGUCCACUCUCGGCUUGAUCAGUUACAGGUACAGACGAGGGACUCAGUUCUUAUUUAAUUGAUGUUCUAUGUAUGCAUCCAUGAUUACCUUACUUAACGGGUCAUUUUCUUUGCAGUUGCUACUGAAAGGUGCUAGCGAGAAUGGUGCAAAAAGAAUCCGUGUGCAUUUUCUUACUGAUGGCCGUGAUGUUUUGGAUGGGUCAAGUAUUGGUUUUGUAGAAACACUUGAGAAUGAUCUUUUGAAGCUACGAGAAAAAGGUGUUGAUGCACAGAUUGCAUCUGGUGGGGGUCGGAUGUAUGUUACCAUGGAUCGCUACGAGGUAUCUGUUAAGAUAUCUGAAUCUAUUAUAUCCCCCUAUAAGCUGUAUAUCAGAUAGUGAUUCAUCUUAUAAAAGGGAUUUGAAUUCAUGCUUCUUAUUUUGCUCUCAAAGGCUCGUGCUUCUUAUAUUUUACACUCUAGGACACACCUAUGGACUUUCUUAGGGUGAGAGUCUUGAGACCCACCAAAUGUUUUCCAAAGAAAUAUGAUGACUAUAUUGUCUCUUUCUGUUCACUUUUAUGAAUAUAUCUUCCAAUCUUUUUGUUAAAAUUUGACGCUUUCGAGGUGGAGCUCCUCAUUUAUGUAUUUUCCAGAACUAUUUGCUCUAGUUUACAUCAAAGUUCCACACUAUAGACGAGCAUUUCUUCAGGAACAUUCCUAUUUUAUUUUUUUUAGCAUUUUUUGUUCUAGCUAGACACUGCAGUUUGGUGUGCUAUUUGUACAGUGGAUUCAAAUUUUGCAUUUCGUUUGGCAUUUUGCUCUUAUUAACAUUGUUGAGUUGGUAGUUCACAUAGUUGGUUUUGAUGAAUUCUCAGAGUUCUUGAAUAGCUACCAAAUAAAUUGGGCUGCUGAUUAAAAGGUCAUUUUAUUCAUUUUGCAGAAUGAUUGGGGCGUUGUUAAACGUGGCUGGGAUGCUCAGGUCCUUGGUGAAGCACCACACAAGUUUCGAAGUGCCGUUGAAGCUGUGAAGAAGCUCAGGGAAGAUCCCAAAGCCAAUGACCAGUACCUGCCCCCUUUUGUUAUAGUUGAUGAGAGUGGCAAGGCAGUUGGGCCAAUAGUGGAUGGUGAUGCAGUUGUAACAUUCAACUUCCGAGCAGAUCGUAUGGUUAUGCUUGCUAAAGCACUAGAAUAUGAAGAUUUUGACAAAUUUGACCGUGUUCGCUUUCCAAAGAUUCGAUAUGCUGGAAUGCUUCAAUAUGAUGGUGAAUUGAAGCUUCCAAGCCAUUAUCUUGUUUCUCCUCCAGAGAUAGAGAGGACAUCAGGAGAGUACUUAGUGCACAAUGGUAUUCGUACUUUUGCUUGCAGGUAUUAUACUGUGCGCCACAAAAUUUUAGGUUGCUUGGAAUUGUCAUUACAAAUGGCGUGUGUUUUUCGGGGAUCAACUAGAUUAGGAAUGAAAAGGGUGGGGUUCCUGUUUUUCACAUAACCAUUUCAAAGUAAAUGAACAAUUACGCUUUCUAAAAGGUUCAAAAAAGCAUGGAGACAAUGUUUUCAUGAAGAUUAUAUCUGGUUUCUGUUCUUUAAUUUUUCAUAAAACCAGAGAACCAACAAAUCUGAUAAACUUCAGUUAUUCUUUUUUUUUUGAAUUAACAAGUGCUUAAUUUUAACGAAUGCAUGCAUGCUCAUUUUGUCCUCAGAUUGGUGACCCACAAACUUAUACAGGAACAAUAUUUGGAGAAUACAGACUUUUAAAUUGUCUUUCUCUCAAUCUACUGGCGACAUUUUUGGAGCUCUAACAAAGCAUGAUGCAAUUACUAUUUCUACUAUGUUUAGUUUUAACUUUUAUACGAGAACCAAUAAUUUAUGUCUACUUUGUAAUUUUGAGUUUUAUGAUGCCAUUCUAUAACUGGUUAUUUGUUACUUCUAGUGGUCCUUAUUUUUAUAUCACCCAGAAAGAUUAUUAUAAUUGAUAUAAUACCUGUUCUUUAAAGAUGAGGUAUUAGUGCCAUUAUUGCUUUCAUAUCUAGGGCGAUUAAUUUAUGUCUACUUUGUAAUUUUGAGUUUUAUGAUGCCAUUCUAUAACUGGUUAUUUGUUACUUCCAGUGGUCCUUAUUUUUAUAUCACCCAGAAAGAUUAUUAUAAUUGAUAUAAUACCUGUUCUUUAAAGAUGAGGUAUUAGUGCCAUUAUUGCUUUCAUAUCUAGGGCGAUUACACUCACGUGUGAAACCUCUUUACAUUUGGUCAACAGUGAGACAGUCAAGUUUGGUCAUGUCACCUUUUUCUGGAAUGGCAAUCGAUCUGGAUAUUUUGACUCGUCAAUGGAAGAAUAUGUUGAAAUUCCAAGUGAUGCAGGAAUUACAUUUAAUGUCCAACCAAAGAUGAAGGCCUUGGAAAUUGCUGAAAAGGCAAGGGAUGCUAUCCUCAGUGGCAAGUUUGACCAGGUAGAGAAAUAUAUGAACUAUAAGAUGGAAUAGUUGGUUUUCAGUUUUAUGGCUUGUGUCAUUCACUAUUCUGUGGCUGUAGGUUCGUGUCAACCUUCCUAAUGGAGAUAUGGUGGGACAUACUGGUGAUAUAGAGGCCACUAUUGUGGCAUGCAAGGCUGCUGAUGAUGCUGUCAAGGUAGCAUGUUGGAUAUGUUUUUACUUUCUUUCCAUUCAACAUGCCUAGAAUUUAGGAAUUUUUUAGGUUAUCAGUAAUUUUGUUUACUUAAAUACUUGUAUGUGGUACCUUUCCAACUCUUAGAUUGGGUAACUAAAAACCUAUGAAAAGAUACACAAUCCAUAUACUGAGUUAAUUUGGGCCUGAAUUUUUAUUUCUUGGGUGAUUUCUUUUCAGAUUUCAUACAUAUUUAAGCAUUUUAAAAGUUCAAGAUUGAUCCAGAAAUUGUUUUGUGAAUAUCAGAAAUAUGUCCUUAUUCUAAACUAGACUUGUUCAUGGGCCAGGCUUGGCUGGGCUUUUGCCCAAACAUCAACAUGAUUUACUUAGGCCCAGGCCUAUUCCAGCUUUUAGAAAAUGCAAGCCUUCUGCACACAAGCCUAGCCCUUACUCGGUUUCGAGCUUUGGCUGGACCUUGGGCUUGCUAACCAUUUUCUCCUCUUUUAGAAAAUACAAAAAAUCCUAAAAAUACAUGAAAGGAUACUAAAUAUUGCCAACAACCUACUACAUGCCUAUUAUCCCAUUAAGUCUACAAAUAUACCUAAUAUAAACACAACACGAAAAAAAUUAUGGUUGGUCCAGGCUCAAGCUGGGCUUUGAUCUCUAAUUCUGAGCGAGCCCAUUUAUUAAACUUGCCUAUUUUCUGGGCCAGGCUCAGCCAGUUGGGCCUAAAACUUGGCCCGAGCCUUCUCCCAAAGGGUGAAGAAUUGAGAGGGCUGGGUGACCUAUUCGAAACUAGGUUAAUCAUGGACUCAUAGGGAUCAAUUAGCCCAAGAAUAUUAUUAUAUAAAAGAGAAGGAAAUGUCAAACUUUACCUGAUAAUGGACUGGAGCUAUAAGUGCUACUGUUUUUCACUUGAUAUGAUAGUUUCAAUGGGCAUUAAAAAUGCAAAUCCUUUCUGAAUAGCUUGGAAAAUGUAUCAAGUAGGAUACCAUCACGUCAAACAAGUUGAUCUUCAAUAAUUUUGAGACAAUCAAAGUUUAGGGCCUGUUAGGGAUUUACUUUUUCUGUUUUAUGUUUUUAAAAACAAAAACAUGAAAGCCGAGAUGAAAAAAAUACAUUUGGCACUAUUGUUUUUUGUUUUAUAUUUAAAAAGUUACUAUUUAUUAUUUUUUAAAAAAUGAAUGCAAGUAAGUAUUGCUUUAAUAUUUUUUUUUAAAAAAAAACUCCAGUUUUUAAAGCAAAACAUCCCCCUUCUUGAGACCAUCUUCACCAUGAUUGCUGCUACUGCCUCUGCCCCCAUCAUUGCUCCCAACACUCCUGCCACAUCCACCACUGCCACUGCUACUGCCGCCGCCGCCACCACCACCCAAGCCACCACCGCCAAGGGUUGGAAGAGGGGCUGGUUUUUGAGUUUGUUUAUUUUCGUGUUUACAGAAACAAAAAUAAUUGAUUAGUUGUUUUUACUUUUAAAAAAAAAAAAAUAGAAACAAGAUUUGCUAUUUUGCUUCUUAGAAAAAUAGGAAAAGUAAUAGUGAUACUAAAUGCUAUACUAUUUUCCAUCUGUGCUACGGUUUUAGUUAAUGUUUUGAAGUCUAUUUUGAGGUCUGGAGUAAUAUGUUCAGACUCGAUAUGUCUGAUGACACUUCCUUUUUGAACACUUAGCUGCUCCUUAAUUGGUUUCAAUUACCAAAUCAGGACAGAGCCCUUGUUUAGCUUCUUACUUUGUUUCUUUUUCAAACCAAUAACUAUUUUAACUGGAGUUUCAAUGUGAUAUAUAAUGUAACUAAUGUGCUUGCUUCUUUUGCUGAUGUAAUGUUAGAUGCUCCUACCAGUAGCAAGACUUUUCCUUAUCAUAAACUAGUUAUGUAGUUCUUUGACUUUGUUUUGAGUUUAAUAGAUUGCUGUUAUUGAUAAGAACCCAAUGCUUUUCUUUGGUCACAAACCCAAUACUUUUUAUUCAGAUCAUUCUGGACGCAAUAGAGCAAGUGGGCGGAAUAUAUGUUGUCACGGCAGAUCAUGGAAAUGCUGAGGACAUGGUAAAGAGGAACAAAUCCGGCCAACCCCUCCUCGAUAAAAAGGGGGACAUUCAAAUUCUUACUUCCCAUACUCUUCAACCAGUAAGUAUACUGAAGGCCAUCUUCCUCUUCAUCUUUAACACCAAGAAUAACUUUAUAAUCUUUUAGUAUAGUUUAGUAUACAGUAAAAUAUUUGAAUGUUGAAGUUGCUAUUAUCUGAACAUCAGCGGUUGUUACUUAAGAACAAUGUGAGGUCUUCUGCUCGUUAAGCUAGAGUUUCUCAGGCCAUAUUGGUGUAGGAGAUCAUGUGCAUAAGUUUCGACAUUGCCACAUAUGCUGUUGCUUGUUUAAAAAUAUUGUGAUCUUAAUGGAAGUGUUAGAAGGUGGUUGUGAUCUUAAGGAAGACUUUGCAAAAUUUGGGCAUGCAUUGUGUGUCUAUCAAAUAGAAAUGACUGGGCACAACCCUUGGUGCUGUGGCUGGGGUGCAUUUUUGUCAAAUUAGAAUACUGAUGGUUGAUUGCCUUUACAGAGUGUAUCUGAAACAUCCUGUAUCUAGCAAAAACUUUCAUCAGGAAAUAGACAAGCAUGUGCAGCUCGUCGGUUUCGUAGUAUUGUUGACUUUUAAGAUGCAUUUAUCGGGUCAUGGAAGCUGGAGCCAGACAACAGUAUCAGUAACUAUAGCUUCAAGUUUUACUAUAAGCAUACUAUGGAUAGCUUGACCAGGAUGGCCUUUGUCUGGACUUGCAUGCUAUAGACUUCCCAGGAUGAUAUAGAUCACAUGAGUGUUUCAAGGUGGCAAGUAUUACCUUCAAGUAACUGGAGAACAUAAUGAGUUACAUUUUUUUCGGCACUAGGAGAGGUCAGAUGACAUUGGAAGAGAUUGGAGAAUUAGUGCAGCUGAUGAACUUCAGCUACUCCCCGACAAUUUUGGCCUUCAACCAAAUGUGGCUGGAAUGUAAAGUUUUUGAGAUAAGAUUGGCUGUAAUAAUGACUCAUUGGUUCCAUAAAUGGAUGGAUGUGCAUUUUUUACUUGGUCUCAUGAAUUCUAAGAAUCUCACAUCUUUCUCCUACCAAUAUUUUUCAAUUAGAUUUUUGCUAUUUAGAGAUCAAACAGUAGAUAUCCAAAUAGAAGAAAGAAGUAGAAGGAAAGGAGGAAUUUUGUGUGUAGAAGGGAAAAAAUAGAGGAGGAGAACUGAAAGGAGGACAUUGACUUGUCUUCCCAUUAGCCCAUGUUCUCUUGUUUUUAAGGUUUUUUAUUUUUUAUUUUUUUUAUUUUUUUCUUUUAAAACAUAAUUUUCUCUUGCAACACUGCUUGUUUUGUUAAGAUUUCAUUUUGUACUUGUGAUAUCAGAUGUUCAAGAGACAAGUAAAGGACAAGAGCGCUAACAUCUCAAACCUAGUCAUAAGAUUAAUUUUGGUGUAGCAUGUUAGUUUUGUAUUACACUUAUAUGACAGAUUAAUAUAGAAAAUCUAUUCACAGACUUUGUCCCAUCCCCCAACCCAUGAGGGCCUGCUUGGCAUCACUGCCAAUUUCCUGUUUUUGCUCUUCGUUUCUGAAAACAUGGAAAUGGGGGCUGGAAACUUGUUUUGCCUUUUUGAUUUCUGAAUAUACUUUUCAAAUUCUGAAAAAAGUGAAAGCUCUCGAGAGUAGCUUUUACGAGAGCUUUCACCCUUUUUUCUAUGAAAAAUGGAAACAAUGCAUAAUCACCAGCACCAUCUCUGUCGCCACCUCUGCCCGCCGGUUGCCGCGACUACCUAUGCCGUUGUCAUCGGUGCUUGCUGGCCAGCUGCAGCUGCCACAGUCCAAGUGAUUACCAAACAAGUUCUGGAUGUCAAUUUUCAAAAAAAAGAUAUAGAACUAGUUUUAGCUUUUACAAAAACUGAAAAUUGAAUGCUGAAAGUGCGGUCAAACAGAACCUAAGCUUUUGAUUGUUUUUUCGUUUGGUGGAAAAGCUUUUGAUAUCAAUAUUGCAAAAGCAUUUGUAAACAUGCUGUCCGUUUAUUUUUGAUAUCCUUUCCUUUUAUAUGGAUGUGAUUAACUUGCUUCAAAUUUGCAGGUUCCCAUUGCCAUUGGAGGCCCUGGCCUUGCACCUGGUGUCAGAUUCCGGAAUGAUGUACCUGAUGGUGGCCUUGCUAAUGUUGCUGCCACUGUUAUGAAUCUCCAUGGUUUUGAGGCUCCUAAUGACUACGAGCCAACCCUCAUUGAAGUAGUUGACAAUUGAAUGCAAUCUACUGAUAACUUAGCAUUAUAUUGGUCCAUUUGGAGUCUGACUCAAAUCUUGCUGCCAGUGCUUGUAGGUGUAGUAGGGAGGUCAAAAUAAAUUCUUUUUGUGAAACUUUAAUUUUUGCGAGCAGCAGAAAAGGUUCUGAUACACCUAUUGUGUGGUUGUUCUCCCAUGAUAUGACCCUCUUUAGGCAUAUCUUGAAUGUUUUUUUGCCUUAGAAAAUUAUUUGACUUGAAAUAGGCAAUCCAUUUUCUGUUAUCAUAUGAUUGUCUUUUCAUGCUCUUCUAUAUCUGCAUGCUUAAUCCUGUCCAAUCUUGAAUCUUAAUGUGGUGUUCUCAAACAGCAGUUGUUUUAUGUAUAAUCCAUGAGAAUUCAUCACUACCAGCUAUUCUUUUUGUUAGUAUGUAUUGGUGGGUUGAAUGCUUUUUCUGCCUUUCUUAUGGAGUUGAAACUUUUCUUGGUUCACAUCAACUGCCUUUGAUAGGAUGAUAUCAGGGCUUACAAGAAUAGAAGUCUAUGGCUUAAGCCUAUGUGCUGUGGGGCCUGUUGGAACUAAUGAUUUCAGAUACAUGCCAACUUCUCCUACCUGACCGUCAACCCAACAUUGAGAAAAGGAUAAUCUUUUAACUUGUUACAUUGCUUGUUCCUGAUUUGGCUUGAUAGGCUCUUUUAUGCAUAUUUAUCUUCAAAGCUUGGUUUUUCACUGGAUUUCUUAGAAACAAUAUUUUCAUUUGAGAUAUGUAAGUAGAAAAUUUAAUUGCAAGCAUCUAUGUAGAAAGCUGACUUAGCCCAUAUCCCAUAUGUGGUUAGAACUUGGAAGCCUUGAUUAUUUCAGAGCUAUCCAUGAGCGGGGGUUUGUGGUGUAUCUUAAGGAAGGCUAGGUUAAACAGUUGGAAUUAUUUUGUGACCCUCGUGAGCAUCUAUUUAGUUUGUUUAAGGUGAGCAUUGGAGAGCUUUUGGAUAUUCAUGCAAGAUCAAUACUCUCAACCCCUUUUAGGUGAGGCCUUGGGUCAUUACACCAUAUGCCCAAUGCGUAUGAUUAUUUGUAGCUUUAUAACAUUUAUGGCGUUAGAUAACUAUAAUCUCUCUCCUCCUUGCCCAUCUCUCUAAAUAAAAAUAUAAUAAUUAUAAUUAUCUUUUGCGCCUCUAUCAUAUUCUUUAUAUACUACUAAGCCACCAAAUAUAACUAUAAGGUGGUUAUUACAAUUGUAAAAGUGGCCAUUAAAAUAUGUUUGUGCACACGUGUGCGCCUUAUGUUUGUUUUUUUGGUAGUCAAAUAUGUGUGUUAUCAAGUUCCUUUAUUGCAAUGGAAGUAGUAGCUGUAUGAUCUACACAUUGUCAAACCAUACUAUAUUUAUAUAUCGUGUUAAAGUGUUCUUCCAUUGGCAUAUUAGUUUUGUAUUCCACUUUUGUGACAUAGGAUAAUAUAGAAAUUCUAUUCAUAUUCCAUAACCACACCCCCCCUCCCCCCACCCCCCAAAAAAAAAAAUCUCAUUACUUGCAGUAAAAAGUAAUUUUGAAAAUAAAAAAAUUAUUAUUAAAAUGCAAUUCGUAUUGUUCUAUCAUCCAUUAAUAUUUUUCAAACACGCUGGUGCAACAAUGAGAUGCUUGUAUGUAUCCUUUUUUGCAUUCCAUUCAUGCUAAAAACCUCUCUCAUCUCACCCUGCCGCCAGCUAGCCUGAAAAGGUAAUAAAAACUGUACCACAAAAAUCCGUUAUGUUCCCAAGUCCCAUACAUCCAUUACCUCGUUCUCGCCUCCCACGGCUCUCAGAACCGCGCCCGUUCUGCCUGCCGUUAAAUCGCCCUCGCUAAGACGAACAUGAGAGGGAGAGCAUUUGAAAUUUGAAAACACUGCUAACGUUGACACAACGCCUCUAUCGGCCAUGGCGUCCCUCACGCCGGGAGUCCUCGUGAAGCUCCUCCAGUCCAUGGACACUGAAGCCAAGGCCGUCGGCGAGCACCGCACCGCUGUUCUCCAGGUCAUCGGCAUCUUGCCCGCCCUCUCCGACUCCAGCGCCGACGACAUCUGGCCCUCCCACGGCUUCUACAUCCAGCUCUCCGACUCCGCCCACUCCAUCCACGUCUCCCUCUCCGACGCCGAUGCCGACGCCAUUCUCUCCAACCGGCCCCACCUCGGCCAGCUCGUCCACGUCGAGCGCCUCCACUUCGCCCACCCCGUCUCCCGCGCCUCCGGCGUCCACCUCCUCCCCGGCCGCCCCCACCACUUCCUCGGCUCCCCCGAGCUCUCAUCGCCCGCUCCCACCCCUCUCGCCGCGGCUUUGUCAUCCAGCCCGCCUCCCCCGCCGACGCUGGCCGUCCCCUCAUCCCCUCUUUCUCCGCCCUCAAGUCCAACCUGUUGUCCGAGGAGAACCCCUUCAGCGAAAAAAGAACCGUUUUUGCUGCCACAGAGAACCCGGGCGGAGAAAAAAGGACAGCUUUUGCUGCCAAGGAAAAUGUUGUCGGCGCCAACACCAAGGCCGCCGGAGAAUCCGCCUGCAAGCGAAGCUUCUCGUCAUCGUCCGGAGCUAAGCUGGCCACGAGGAAGAUCAACAGCGGGACAGGGGAGCAGAGGGACCCCUCCCCUGCUGUGGGACAAGGGAAGGCGAUGCCAUUCUCCCCUGCGUUGGGCGGAGCAGCGAGAGAAAGCUCGAGGUCUUCGUCACCGGUCCUUUCCAAGUGCGUUGUGCCAAGCCUGGUGGAAGCGAAAGAGGAGAAUCCGGGGGUGAAGAGGGAACCGGCCAUUAUAGCGCCAUGAAGGUACCGGGCAGCCCUCCCCAGCGGCAAGGAAGGCAGCGGCAUAGCCCAUUGGGAGAAGGAGCUCGAUGUCUCCUGGGAGGAGGCUCUCGGGAGGGCUGAAGGCAUGGCCGGCAGCUGGUGAGGGUGCUGGGAGUAAGAAGAAGGUGGGGUUAAUGGUUGCAGGGAUUUCCAAGGUUUCAGAUUCGCUGAGGGUGUCUGCUAAAUCAGUUAGGAAGAGCUGGGAUGAUUCGUCGGGGAAUUCUGCGGUCUCUUCGGAGCAAAAGGAAUGUUCCAAGUGUAAAGCGGACAGGGAAGCCAUUUUGAGAACCCAGGUAAAUUUUUUUGGUAGACUGAGAACCCAGGUAAUUGAUAUUUCUCGUUUGUUCCUCCCACCUUUGCAAAACAAACCUCAAGACCAUCUUUUCUUCUUUUCAUUUUUCGUUGUUCACUUGGUAUCAAAGCUCUAAUGGUUGAAUUCGUGAUAUUUAUUGGACUUAUAAUCUGCUGUAGAAGUCUCCUUUUUGACUGUUAUAUUUAGUUUUCUCUUAUUUUGCUAUCCUACAUUUCUUAAAACCUAAUUAAUGGUAUCUUUUUAUAUACCUAACACGGAUUUUGUAAGAGUAUGCACUCUUAUGUGUGUUCUUUUAAUCUGAAAAUUUUCAUAACCUAAUAUCCUUUGUAAUGAGAAAUAUAAUAUUUUCUAAAUUAAAAGACUGAUUUUUUUGAUUGGAUAUAUCUUCUUACACCGUCAUUCUUUCUAUUUGAAUCUUGGUAUCACUGGAAAGCUCUCAGAAUAAGCUUUCCAACGAUAUAUUUUAUGUAUUUUUUGGAUUGCAUGCCUCAGUGCGGUAGACAUUGCAUGUUUGCUUGAUGCACUCUGCACAUCCACGGGACAACAUGCCCCAAUACGGCUGGGUGCCAGGCAUCCAUAUGGCAUGCGCACUAGCUCAGUUAGGCGCUGCACAUCCACAUGGGCACACACCAGUGCAUUUGAGCAUUGUGUUUAGUGUAGCACGCAUGCAACAAUAUGUCCUAGGGAUGUUAAAAAAAAAGGAUUGUUUGCGUGUCAUGGAGCCACACAAUCAAAACACCAGAAGGAGGCUCAGACAAUGCAUGAGUGAUGAGGUUAAAAAAACAAAAGAAAAACCUCUCUCGCUAUUUAUGGCAUUGUCACAUGAUGUUAUUUGCUGAGUAAUUCUAUCUUUUAAUAUACUUUUAAUGGUUGGUUAUUUACAAAAAAAAAAUUUAAAGAAAAUAUUUAUGUAUAAGGUUGUUAAAUAUAAUAAUAUUAGUAUUAUAUAUAACAUGCAUAUAUUUUUUAAAGGAUUUUAAGUCCCGGUUUGAUUGUUGAUCGGGACUUAAGCUUUAAACCUCAUUGACCAUGACUUUAAUACCCAGUCCACAGUCAAAAAUAAACAUAACUCUCGAUCCCUAUAAUAUUUUUGAGGAUAUUUUUGCCCUUGGAAACAAAAGAAUCCAUAAAAUCCAUUGUAUGCUCCUUUUCCCAUGGCGAAAUCUCUUGUGACCCAUAGUGGCCCCCUUCUCCACUAUAAAAUCUCGUUGUGCCCUCCUUCCCCACCAUCAAAUCCCACCUGUCCCCCCUUCUCAAUCAUGAAAGACUCACCGCACUCACUUCCCCACCAUGAAAGUAUUAUCGUAUCACCUCUUUUCCCAUCGUAAAGCAUCCUCAUCGCAUCCUCUUCCCUAACGUAACAUCCAUCCAUUUUCUCUUUGAUGUAUGUCGAUGAGGAGGUAUUCUUCGUCCUCAUAUUGUCUCGACGUUCUAUUUCUUCUAUACAUGAAUGGUGCCUUCUCCCCUCUAUCCAUUCCAUUUCUUGUGUUUCCAAUUACAAUGAAAUCUCUGUCUCAUUAUCUAUUAAAGAUUUACAAGAAAUUCCUACAACCUCAACAAAUUGUAAAGCUAACAAUUUAAACUUUAAGUCAAUUGAUCUUUAUAGUAAUUUCAAAGUGAAUAGAACAAGUGUUUGUUAAAUUCAUUGUCUUUAACUGUAUACAAAAUUUAAAAAUUCAUUACAUAAUGUGUACAAAAAUUCAUUAUCAUUACUAUGUACUGACACAUAAUAUGUAUGUGUCAAAUGAAAAUUAAUAUGCGAGUUAUCUAACUAGGGUAAAGUAUAAAAAAUAUAAAAAAUUAAGAUUAUGUACAGACCUACCCCAUAUCAAUACCAGCCCUUGUGGCCUUCCUUGUGAUAGAAAGUGCAACUCCUCCCUAGGCUCUAUCCUCUCGAUUAUCUGAUAAGGAUAAAAACUUUAGUUAUGUAUCGGUUUGAUAUAUUUGUGAUGUUAGAUACAAAAUGUAUAUCUCAAAUCUUUUUAUUUUCUUUAUAACUUCAAUGAUCGCCCCCACCUUGUAGGAGAAUAGGACAUUGCUCCAAUAUAAGAGAUGGAAAUAGAUGAAUGAUGGUCUGUGCCUUCCAAGUAGACUAUUGGCAUACUUAAUAGCCCAUGCCUACACAAAUAAAGUGAUGUAAGCAUUAUAUUUUAAGUUAAUUCAACUCUCAAACAUUAACUUGCAAGUAAACAUAAACAAGCCUACCAUCAAAGUUACCAUACAUUCAUCCAUGUAUCCAGUAAAGCUUCUUUCGGCAUAUUUCUUCUGCUCACACUCUCUUUCUAAGCUAGAGAUUUGCUAUUGAAAGAAAGAAAAAGUUGCACAAUCCCAACUAUAUGAUCCUAGACAGUCCAAAUCAUCAAGAUAUGAACAUAAUGCUUUAGAAAAAUUGUAGUGUACAGUUGGGAAGAGGAUGGUUACAAAAAGAUGAAGAACCCAUAACUUAGUGAAGUUUUCUAUAUCUUGCAAUCCAGACUUUUCAAUAAGAUAUCAAUUUAUUUUUUACUAAAUUUUUAGUCAUUUUUUAUGAUCACCAUUGAAAAAUCAGGUGAUGAAGUCAGACUGAACCCUUCCUUUCCUAUACAACUCAACCUCAUCACUAGUGGCCCUCAAACUAAGGAUGAGGAUAAGGUUGGUCCUCACAAAAAAAACUAGAGUCUUAUCAAACCAAAAGCCCUCCUCAUUAUCCCAAAAGAAGAGCAGUGUAUCCAAUAAUGGCUUGCUUUGCUUGAUGUAUGGAAGUCAGAGCAAAUGGCCAAAUAGAAUACCAGCCAUCUUUGCCUUCUACUCUUCGGGCAUGGACUCCAUAAGUCUGUCAAUAACCCUAAUAUAGUGAUUGAAGUAACACUUUUCAUUAACCAUAUUUAUCGGACCAAUACAAAAAUUGCUUUGCCUCCCUUUAGACUUGUGAUCAUAAUACUCUGCAUCACCAAUCAAAUUCAAACAAUACAUGUUAGAAACAUCAUUGUAAUAUUUAUUAGACAUUAAUUAUUGAUCAUCGUAAUUCUAACAAACUAUAUUAACUAAUAAUGUAUUAGAACAAUCACACAACAAGGACAUGAAAUAUAAAUAUAACUAUAUGAAACAUGAGCUUUCUUUCUUCACUGAUAUCAUGGUACACGUUAUUUUAGCCUAGUACAUAGUCCAAUAAUGUAUACAAUUAAUCCAACACCACAUACAAUUAAUGUGUAUCAUUGUACACACUUAGUGUAUCAUGGCACACACUUAGUAUUGUACACACUUAAUAAUUUAAGCAUCAUGAGGUGCUGUAAUAAUUUAAGCAUAAUAAUUGCUAUAAGAACUAUUUUUACUCAUGUAUUCACCAUAUUAGGUCUUUCAUCUAUUGAAAUACAUGAUUCUAAUAGUAAUACCUGCUAUAUAAUUUAAUGAUAAGUGGCUCUAUAAGGGAUUUUUAGGAGAGACAAAAAAUUGUAUUAUCUAUGGAUAAUGAAUUUUUGUACAAUGUACAAUGUAGUUAAAGAAAAUAAUUAUUUGGAAAUGCUUUAUGCAUAUAGUUAAAUUUGUGUAUGAUGAAUUUUAUGGAGUUAAAUUUACAUUGUACAAAUAUGGUAUUGUACACAAUUAAAAACAAUGAAUUUGUAUGCGCAUUGUAUGAUGAAUUCUUGGAUUUUAUUUAUAGUUAAAGACAAUAAAAUUGACAAACUUCUUUCCAUUCAUUCUAAAAUUACUAUGAAAAAUCAAUUGAUUCAAAGUUUAGAUUGUUAGUGUUACAAUUUGUUUAAGUUGUAGGAAUUUCUUACAAAGCUUUAAUAAAUAAUGAGAUAUAGGGAUUUCAUUAUAAUUGAAAACAUAAAAAAUGGAAUGAAUUGAAGGGAGAGGGCAUCGCUCAUGCAUGGAAGAAAUAGAAUGUCAGGACAAUGUGAGGAUGAAGAUGACCUCCUCUUAAUGUAUGCCAGAGAGAAGAUGGAUGGACGUCACGGUGGGAAAGAAGAUGCGAUGAGGAUACUUUAUUGUGGGAAAAGGGGUAGUGCAAUAAUACUUUCACGGUGGAGAAGGUGGCACGGUGGAUUUUUCACGAUGGGGAAGGGCUAAUGGUGGCAUUUGAUGAUGAAAAAGUAAGGUACGAUGGGAUUUCAUAGUGGAGAAGGGUGCCAUAUGUCUCACAGGAUAAUUCGUGGUAGGAAAGUAAGGAUACAAUGAGAUUUAAGGAUUCUUUUGUUACUAAAGGCAAAAUGUCCUUGGGAAUAUUAUAGGGAUUGGGAGUUAUAUUUAUUUUUUGCUAUGGAUUGGAUAUCAGAGUCAUGAUCAACAGGGUUUAAAGCUUAAAUCCCAGUCAACAAUUGAAUCGAGACUUGAAAUCCCCUAUUUUUUAAUAAUCCUCUUAUGUGUAUGUAGUGAAAAAUGGGCAAUGAAUGGAAAAUAUUUAUUGAGAAUUUAAAAAUUAUAAAAUGAACCCUAAAUACACUUAGAUGUAUAUACAAAUAUUGGAUAAUUAAAUAAGAUUGUUUAGAUAUUAUGGAAUCAAUAUCCCUAUUCAAGAACAAAUUAUUAUUCCACUCAAUUUCCUAUCAACGGAAUGGAAAAGAAAAAUAUAGUAGUCGCUCUAUGAGAUACAAUGAGAUUUAAGGAUUCUUUUGUUACUAAAGACAAAAUGUCCUUGGGAAUAUUAUAGGGAUUGGGAGUUAUAUUUAUUUUUUGCUAUGGAUUGGAUAUCAGAGUCAUGAUCAACAGGGUUUAAAGCUUAAAUCCCAGUCAACAAUUGAAUAGAGACUUGAAAUCCCCUAUUUUUUAAUAAUCCUCUUAUGUGUAUGUAGUGAAAAAUGGGCAAUGAAUGGCAAAUAUUUAUUGAGAAUUUAAAAAUUAUAAAAUGAACCCUAAAUACACUUAGAUGUAUAUACAAAUAUUGGAUAAUUUAAUAAGAUUCUUUAGAUAUUAUGGAAUCAAUAUCCCUAUUCAAGAACAAAUUAUUAUUCCACUCAAUCUCCUAUCAACGGAAUGGAAAAGAAAAAUAUAGUAGUUGCUCUAUGAGAAAGAUAUAUGAAGGAAAAAGUUAAAUCUUCCUAUAAAAUAGUUUGUGAGCUUGAACUGGUUGAGACGUGCCGUAUAUUAUCUAGGAUUAGGCAUAGUGCAAUACUGUAUCAAUUUUCAAACUUUUGCAUGCAAAACACUUGGGCUAUUUAGGACGCGACAAAGAUCCUAGAUAUCUACGCAUGGUGGGUAGAGUGGGACACAAGAUCAUCCUAGAGUAAUUUAUCUUCAACAAAGGGAAUGUAUUGCCUUAUCGAGAGCAUAGAAGACUUAGCAAGAAUUAUGCUUUGAAAUAAUACUUUAUUUGAUUGCAGAGCAUGUGCCUUAAAGCUUUCUAUUCUUGUAAAUAGUCUUUUAUGCAUAUAACUAUGUAUGAACUUAAUUUUUAGUUCAUUAACGGCAUGUUAUGUAUUUUUGUUUAUAUUUGUUUAUUAAUUGCUAUUAUGAUAUGCUUAAAUAUAUUGUUCAGUAAGAAUUCUAAGAUUGGUUGAAUUCCAAGAAAGUUCUUGCUUAGAGCUUAUAAUUUUGAGUAAAUGAUAAUUAGACAUUUAAACAUGCAAGAUGAGUGGAAGCACAGAGAACUUUCGAUUAUGUAUCUUAUAUUAGGUUAUUAAUCACUUAAAAAAUAAUAUAUACAUAUUUUUUUUUGUGCUAGUAUUUAUUGUGUACCUUUCUCUAUGUAGUAAUAGUGAAUUGGUGUAUGUAUUUAAGCAUAUCGUGAUUGAGUUGAAUAAAGAUGAUAAGCUAAACAAUGAUAAUUAUGAUAUUUGGUACUAAAAAGUUUAGUAUAUCCUUGAGAAACAAGAGAUUCUAAAGUCACUUAACCAUACCAUGGCUAAGUUUGAGCAGGGUACUUUUACUCCACAUAAAAAAAAUCAUGAUGCCUAUUUGGCCUGGAAGAGGAAGAAUAGCGUUGUUCGCAUCACAUUGUUGAGUGGUAUGCAGAAUGAUCUCAUGUGUGAAUUUGAGAAGUACGACAUAGCUCAGAAAAUGUAGCUUGCUCUAAAAGAGAAGUUUAGAGGUACUUCAACUGCUAAGCUGAGAAGGCUUACUAUCAAGUUUGACUCCUAUAGGAAGCGACCAAGUAAUAUUAUGAGGCAACAUUUUAGAGAGAUGUCAAACAUGAUAAGGGAGUUGAGGGUAGCUGGCCACAUCCUCACUAACGAGCAAAAUGAUUAGGCUAUAAUUAGAACCUUACUCAAGAGCUGGGAGCAUAUGAUAAUUACUAUAAUGCACAAUGUUAAUAUAAAGGCUUUUGAUGACAUAGCACGUCCUUUGGAGCUGGAAGAUGAGAACUUUAAGGUAGCUAAAUCUUCUGGUUUAGGUUAUGUGGCUAAAUCUAGCUCAUGCAAGGUAGCUUCAAGCAUAAGAGGUUGGAAAUUCUCCAAAAUGAGUAAGGAAAAAGGGUAAGCAUCCAAAUUUGGUAAAGCUAAGCAGCAUAAGGGAGGCAAACAUGUGGUAAAAAGAAGGAUAAGCCUAAGAUAUGAUGCUUUAAAUGUCUAGUUAGCAUUGACUUACAACUAUUUGCUCAAAAUUUUAAAUUCUAGGUGAGAACUUUCUUAAGGCCUGUUUAAAUCCUAUAGGAUUCAUGAAUCAACCAUCAUAAGCAUUGGAUGAUAGGCUGCACUAGGUCUGUGUUUACCAUUAUCUUAGCUAAGCUCAUUUUUCCUCCAUAUGAGAUUUGGGCCAACCCAUUCAAAAUAUAUUAUAGGAUAGUUAUAAACAUAGACCUAGUCCAACCUAUAAUUUAAUAUGUUUGGUAGUUGUACUGGUCUAGCCCACGAAUCUCAUGGGCUUUUGGGCCUAACCAUCCAAACAGGCCCUUAAAAUUCUACCAACCUUAGAACUCUUAAUUAUAUAUUUAAGCACAAAAUUCUUUGUACAUCGACUGCGAUGUAGGAAAUCUGACAUGGACCGCACCGUCUCGUCCGAUUGAUCCACGUGACGUCCUCAUGACUCGAUGUGAUCGAACGUUUGCAGGCACGAGAAAAUGGAGGCGGUGCAUUGUCCCAUCAUCGAAUACAUUUAAUGCACAUCAUAAUUCAUUUUUCAAAUUUAACUCAAUUUUAAUAUGAUGAAAAUGCCCAUUUUCUUCAAGAUGAUUUUUUUACUAUCUUACUAUCUGGUUGGACAUUUUGAAUGCUACUCUUUUCUCUCUUUUUUCUUGAUUUGUUGAGCUUCUGUCCGUUCAAAAAAAAAAAUUUCAACCACAAUUCUACAUCCGAGGCUCUUGAGUAGCAUAUAGAUAAUAUACGUCCAUCCAAGCAACAUGUCCCAUCCAUCAGAAAGUAAAAUACUAUCUAUAUAUAUUUUUUAUGAUUUUGUGAUCAUUCUUUUAUUACGGUAGCUCUUUGGUAGUUAAGCGAAGUUAAUGUAUUAGUUAGGUUUCAAAUGGAGUUCUUUUUAGUUUUGAAUAUAGCAUUUCAUAAAAAUAUUAUCUGAAAGCAUAAUAAGUUAGGAUAUCAUGACAUUCUAGAUUGAUAUUAUGACAUAAGCUCGAAAGUAUACUUUUGGAUAGUUUUAUGAUAUCUUGAGUUGAAUUUAUGACAUUCGACGUCAAAAUUAUGACAUCUUAUACUUAAAACACCUACCGAAGGUGGUUUUGACUAUAUUAUGACAUUCCAGAUCAAAAUGAUGACAUUAUACGUCAAUAUUAUGGCAUCUCGUAGGUAAAAUAAAAUAGAAGAGUUUUUUUUUGAUAUUUUUAUGACAUCCUGGAUCGAAAUUAAUUAUGACAUCCUAUAUUCAGAUUAUGACAUCCUGUAGAUAGAAUGCAAAUCGAUGGUAGUUUUGAUAAUAUUAUGAUAUUUUAGAUCCAAAUGAUGACAUCAUAUGUCAAUAUUAUGACAUCCUGUAGGUAAAGUAAAAUUUUAAAUUUUUUUUGAUAUUUUUAUUAUAUUCUGUAUCAAAAUUAUGACAUUCGACGUUAAAAUUAUGAUAUUUUGUAUGUAAAACAUCUUUCGAACGUAUAUUUUCAUAUUUUUAUGACAAUAUGGGUCAAAAUUAUAAUAUUAUAUAUCAAUAUUCUGAUAUCUUAUAUGUAAAAUAAAAUAAUUUUUUUUUUGAUAUUUUUAUAAUAUCCUGUGUCAAAAUUAUGAUAUUCGACGUUAAAAUUAUGACAUCCUAUACGUAAAUCACCUGUCGAAGGGAUAUUUUGAUAUUUUUAUGAUAUUUCAAAUCUGAAUUAUGAUAUUAUAUAUCAAUAUACUGACAUCCUAUAGGUAAAAUAAAAUAAAAUUUUUCUUUUUGAUAUUUUUAUGAUAUUCUGGGUGAAGAUGAUGACAUUCGACGUAAAAAUUAUGACAUGCUGUAGGUAAAACAUCUAUCGAAGGUAGUUUUGACGAUAUUAUGACAUUCCAGAUCAAUAUUAUGAUAUUCUAUAUCAAUAUUAUGAUAUUUUAUAAAAAAAUAAAAUUAAAAAAUAUUUUUGAUAUUUUUAUGAUAUUGUAUGUAAAAAUUAUGAUAUUCGACAUUACAAUUAUGACAUCCUGUACGUAAAACACCUUUCGAAUAUAUAUUUUAAUAUUUUUAUGACAUCGUGGGUCAAUAUUAUGAUAUUCUAGAUUAAUAUUAUGAUAUUCUGUAGUAAAAUAAAAAUAAAAAAUUUAUUUUUGAUAUUUUUAUAUCAUUCUGUAUCAAAAUUAUAAUAUUUGACAUUAAAAUUAUGACAUCGUGUAUCCAAAAUGCCUACUGAAGAUAAUUUUGAUGAUAUUAUAACAUCUCAGAUCCAAAUGGUAAUAUUAUAUAUCAAUAUUAUGAUAUUUUAUAAAUAAAAAAAUAAAAAAAAUUUUUUGAUAUUUUUAUGAUAUUCUGGAUCGAAAUUAUGACAUUCUAUGUUAAAAUUAUGACAUUCUGUAGGUAAAACGCCUAUUGAAGGUAGUUUCGAUAAUAUUAUGAUAUUUUAGGAAGGAGUUAUAAUAUUAUAUGUUAGUAUUAUGAUAUUCUAUAGGUAAAAUGCCUAUCAUCUAUGGAUUUUUUAUAUUUUUAUGAUAACGAG